This 948-nucleotide ribosomal RNA is filed under the name uncultured Mycoplasma sp. Its description in RNAcentral is "bacterial SSU rRNA". It matches the Rfam family "Bacterial small subunit ribosomal RNA", at positions 87 to 1034 of the family's 1533-position model. The record is from RNAcentral. Lineage: Bacteria; Bacillati; Mycoplasmatota; Mollicutes; Mycoplasmatales; Mycoplasmataceae.
GGAACUUAGCGGCGAAUGGGUGAGUAACACGUACUUAACAUGCCCUCUAGAUUGGAAUAACGAUUAGAAAUGAUCGCUAAUGCCGGAUACUUAUUUCCUUCGCAUGAAGGAUAUAUAAAAGGAGCGUUUGCUUCGCUAGAGGAUUGGGGUGCGUAACAUUAGCUAGUUGGUAGGGUAAUGGCCUACCAAGGCUAUGAUGUUUAGCGGGGUUGAGAGACUGAUCCGCCACACUGGGACUGAGAUACGGCCCAGACUCCUACGGGAGGCAGCAGUAGGGAAUUUUCCACAAUGGACGAAAGUCUGAUGGAGCGACACAGCGUGCAGGAUGACGGCCUUCGGGUUGUAAACUGCUGUUAUAAGGGAAGAAAAAAUAAAGUAGGAAAUGACUUUAUCUUGACGGUACCUUGUCAGAAAGCAACGGCUAACUAUGUGCCAGCAGCCGCGGUAAUACAUAGGUUGCAAGCGUUAUCCGGAAUUAUUGGGCGUAAAGCGUCUGUAGGUUGUUUGUUAAGUCUGACGUGAAAACUUGGGGCUCAACCCCAAAUUGCGUUGGAUACUGGCAAACUAGAGUUAUGAAGAGGUUAGCGGAAUUCCUUGUGAAGCGGUGAAAUGCGUAGAUAUAAGGAAGAACACCAACUUGGCGAAGGCAGCUAACUGGGCAUACACUGACACUGAGAGACGAAAGCGUGGGGAGCAAACAGGAUUAGAUACCCUGGUAGUCCACGCUGUAAACGAUGAUGAUUAGCUGAUGGGGAACUCAUCGGCACAGCUAACGCAUUAAAUCAUCCGCCUGAGUAGUAUGCUCGCAAGAGUGAAACUUAAAGGAAUUGACGGGGAUCCGCACAAGCGGUGGAGCAUGUGGUUUAAUUUGAAGAUACGCGUAGAACCUUACCCACUCUUGACAUCUUCCGCAAAGCUAUAGAGAUAUAGUGGAGGUUAACAGAGUGA